Molecule: long non-coding RNA, 344 nt
Filed under: Cyanistes caeruleus (blue tit)
Lineage: Eukaryota; Metazoa; Chordata; Aves; Passeriformes; Paridae
Description: lncRNA (ENSCCEG00000001061.1)
Source: RNAcentral
GUAUGACCACUCUGUCACAAUGCAGAGAGGAAAAUAAUAAUGAAGAAAAUAAUUAUCAUCUAUCAUAAACUGUCUUGAUUUUUUUAUCUGCUGAGGUACUCUGUAAUGUUCAUUAAACAAUUACAAAAUAAAAACGUUUGACCAAAACUUUCAUAAUCUGUUCUCAUUGCAGAUUCCUGGCUCUUUAGAGAUCCACUCACAUGGAAAGGUGAAGAGUGCCCAAUGUGAAACUGAGAACAUACCUUAAGUGACUUAGGUGACUGAUCCAAACCCAGUUAUCGUACUGGACAGUAGGUCAAAUUUAAGAUAUCCAGGUAAGAACAGAUGUAGCAGAGUGGAGAAAA